This 253-nucleotide ribosomal RNA is filed under the name uncultured bacterium. Its description in RNAcentral is "partial 16S ribosomal RNA". It matches the Rfam family "Bacterial small subunit ribosomal RNA", at positions 524 to 776 of the family's 1533-position model. The record is from RNAcentral.
UACAGAGGUGGCAAGCGUUGUUCGGAAUUAUUGGGCGUAAAGCGCGCGCAGGCGGUUUCUUAAGUCUGAUGUGAAAGCCCACGGCUCAACCGUGGAGGGUCAUUGGAAACUGGGGAACUUGAGUGCAGAAGAGAAAAGCGGAAUUCCACGUGUAGCGGUGAAAUGCGUAGAGAUGUGGAGGAACACCAGUGGCGAAGGCGGCUUUUUGGUCUGUAACUGACGCUGAGGCGCGAAAGCGUGGGGAGCAAACAGG